GAUGAACGCUGGCGGCGUGCCUAAUACAUGCAAGUCGAGCGAACAGACGAGGAGCUUGCUCCUCUGACGUUAGCGGCGGACGGGUGAGUAACACGUGGAUAACCUACCUAUAAGACUGGGAUAACUUCGGGAAACCGGAGCUAAUACGGAAUAAUAUAUUGAACAGAAUGGUUCAAUAGUGAAAGACGGUUUUGCUGUCACUUAUAGCGGGAUCCGCGCCGCAUAAGCUAGUUGGUAAGGUAACGCCUUACCAAGGCAACGAUGCGUAGCCGCCCUGAGAGGGUGAUCGGCCACACUGGAACUGAGACACGGUCCAGACUCCUACGGGAGGCAGCAGUAGGGAAUCUUCCGCAAUGGGCGAAAGCCUGACGGAGCAACGCCGCGUGAGUGAUGAAGGUCUUCGGAUCGUAAAACUCUGUUAUUAGGGAAGAACAAAUGUGUAAGUAACUAUGCACGUCUUGACGGUACCUAAUCAGAAAGCCACGGCUAACUACGUG
This 497-nucleotide ribosomal RNA is filed under the name uncultured bacterium. Its description in RNAcentral is "partial 16S ribosomal RNA". It matches the Rfam family "Bacterial small subunit ribosomal RNA", at positions 28 to 507 of the family's 1533-position model. The record is from RNAcentral.